Molecule: long non-coding RNA, 1030 nt
Filed under: Homo sapiens (human)
Lineage: Eukaryota; Metazoa; Chordata; Mammalia; Primates; Hominidae
Description: HSALNT0045015
Source: RNAcentral
CGGAACAAAGGAGGCGAGCGCAGCUGCACGCGCAGGGAGGCCCACAGCGUCCCGGGCCCCUCCUCCCCCGCCGCCGCCGGGGCACACCGCACCUGAACCCCACUCCCCAGGACGCCCCAUUGUUCUCCCUCCGCUUUCCUGCCCGGAGGAAGCCACACCGUGUCUUUCCAGGGGGCCAGGAAACAGCUGUGGGCCAGAGGAAUGGAGGGGCUGUGGGUGAACACGAGGACAGCCGAGAUUCGACUCUGCCCACAGACCAGCAAAGCCAAGGACAGAGAGGUCUUCAGGGAAUACAUGGCUAUGGUGGUUUGAAGACUCCCAUUAGAGAGUGGAUAUUAAUUGCCCUCCUUUUGAAUAUGGUCUGGACUUAGUGAUUUGAUUGUAACAAAUAGAAUACAGCAGAUGUGAUGCUAUGUGACUUCCAAACCUAGGUCAUAAAAGGAGAUGAAGUUUUCACCUGGCUCUCCCUUGGGACACUCACCCUUGGAACCCAGCUGCCAUAUUGUGAGGAAGCUCAAGCCACAGGGAAGGCCAUGUGUAGGUGUUUGGGCUGAUGGUGCCAGCUGAGGACCUGGUCUACUGCCAGUACAACUUAUAUCAAGCAUGUGAGUUGGCGAGCUUUUGAAAGAACUCCAGCCACAGUCACUGACCACGCUGCCUGAGAGACCUAGAGAGAAAACCUAGCUGAGCCAAAUCAGGCCCCGGAAAGAUAAAUAACCAGCACCUCUGCCUGCUUUCCUUACUCAAAUCUUUGAUGAGACCAUCUUUUCAGAAGAGGCAGGUGCAGCACCUUUGGAACCUGCAUUAACUCUCCCAGCAGACAAACAGACACAUUUCUUUCACAAGAGCCACCUCCUUUCUAAUUGAGAAGUCUGUUGCUCUUGGUGUUCUCCGGCCUGCCACGCCUACUACAGAAUGUAAAGCAUGAAAGAAAUGCUCCAGUUUUUAUAUAACUUUUUAUUUUGGCAUGCAACAAUCAGUAUUUCAACUUAAAGGAAUGAGGAAGAUGGGGAUUACAGACAUUUUGGUA